GUCCUAGCUGUAAACGGUGCACGUUUGCUGUAAAAGGAAUCGACCCCUUUUGUGGCGAAGCUAACGCGUUAAACGUGCCGCCUGGGGAGUACGGUCGCAAGAUUAAAACUCAAAGAAAUUGACGGGGGCCUGCACAAGCGGUGGAGUAUGUGGCUCAAUUCGAUGCAACGCGAAGAACCUUACCUGGCCUUGACAUGUAUCUAGUAGAAGGGUGAAAACCUGACGAGGUGGCAAUACCAGGGUACACAGGUGCUGCAUGGCUGUCGU
Molecule: ribosomal RNA, 267 nt
Filed under: uncultured bacterium
Lineage: Bacteria
Description: partial 16S ribosomal RNA
Rfam family: Bacterial small subunit ribosomal RNA
Source: RNAcentral